CGGUGGAUCACUCGGCUCGUAGGUCGAUGAAGAACGCAGCUAACUGCGAUAAUUAGUGUGAACUGCAGAAACCUUGAACACCAAAUAUUCGAAUGCACAUUGCGCCAUUGGAAUUUUAUCCUUUGGCACGCCUGAUUCAGGGUCUUAA
This 148-nucleotide ribosomal RNA is filed under the name Hirschmanniella mucronata. RNAcentral's name for it is "5.8S ribosomal RNA". It matches the Rfam family "5.8S ribosomal RNA". From Rfam's summary of the family: 5.8S ribosomal RNA (5.8S rRNA) is a component of the large subunit of the eukaryotic ribosome. It is transcribed by RNA polymerase I as part of the 45S precursor that also contains 18S and 28S rRNA. The record is from RNAcentral. Lineage: Eukaryota; Metazoa; Nematoda; Chromadorea; Rhabditida; Pratylenchidae.